RNAcentral lists this transfer RNA (71 nucleotides) under Loxodonta africana (African savanna elephant). It matches the Rfam family "tRNA". Rfam says of the family: Transfer RNA (tRNA) molecules are approximately 80 nucleotides in length. Lineage: Eukaryota; Metazoa; Chordata; Mammalia; Proboscidea; Elephantidae. The record is from Rfam by way of RNAcentral.
GCAUUGGUGGCUCAGUGGUAGAAUUUCCGCCUUCCAUGUGGGAGACCUUGGUUCGAUUCCCAGCCAAUGUA